GUGAGGUCAGCGGCCGUGAGGUCACUCCAGGAGGUGCCUACAGGACCUGCAGGACCUGCUCGUUCACAGAUGUUCUCCUAGAAGCAGAAGCUGUUUCUUGUUGCAAACAAAUUUGCUGUGUCCUGUCUUAGGAGUCUCACCUGAAUUUACCAAGGAUGCAUCUGUGCUUGGGGAUGGCUCGGUUUGAGGGGUCUGAGGAGCGGCUCCCCUGGAUCCUUUCCUCCCCAGGAGCCCACCUGCCGAGCUGUCAGCGUCAGCCCCACAUCUCAAGAUGAGGAAAUGGAGCCCGUGCCAGCUCGCUGGGAGGAGGACGAGGACGCCUGUGAUCACAUGCUCUGGUCUGGAGGCACGGCCGCGGGCCCCGGGUCAGUGUGAAUCCGCGGGGUUACUCCUCAGUCGGAUCUGAGCUCUGAAACCCAGACCCGAGGAAGACAAGCGGCCACGUCGGAUGUACCAGUGGUGGAAGAUCCUGUCCGGCUGCACCGAGGCUCACAUCAGAAGCCGGCUUCGGUUUCACCACAAAAUAAGGCAUCUAGUGCCCGAUUCUGCCUCCAAAGCAGCCCUGGGUCACACUCGCUGUAGGACAGAUGUUAUUCUUCAGAAUCACGCCCUCUGGCAAAUGCCCAUCAUCGGACAAAUGGACGGAUGAAGUGUGACUCAGCCAUGAGAAGGGGGAUGCUCUGAGCCGCGCGGCCACACCACCAACCCGGAGGACACGGUGCUGCGAGAAAAAGCCAGCCAGGAGUUCAGAAGUAACAGGGCAAAUAGGGAAAGUCCUUCCUGGCCUGUCUACAUACCCCUGCAGCCCUCCCGGUCCUAGGGUGACUGCUGACGGAGAGGGCACUCCCUUCCCGAGUCUUCUCUGCACGUCCGUGGGCACGCACAGCUGAGCGGCACACAGCAGCCCGGCUCGCUCCUCCGCACUGGGGACACAAGAUUUCACUGCACCUCACCCAGCCCUUUCCACAGAGCAGUUCAUCUUGGAGACUCUUCCCCUCGAAGGGUCUAAAGGCCAGUCUCCGUGUCCUGGUGUUUGUUGUCGGGGAGGAUGCAACAUCGGGGGAAGGAAGUAAUCAUGUCUGGUGGCAGCUGGCACUGGCAGGCAGCGGGCACUCGAAGCCUGCACCUCGCACCUGUCCCUCUGGGGCCUCGGCUAUCCCUCCGCACGACGGGCAUGAAGCCCCCUCCUGCCUCCACUGCUCGGAUGAAAGGAGCUCGUAGAUGACGGAGUUGAUGACAUAGGAAUCAUUCUGGACUUGCAUCUCCACAUCGUAGCUGUGACUGUUUGCCACAGCGAGGAAGAUCCUCUCCCCGAUCUGGAAGACCUCCCAGUCUGCAGCACCGAACGUCUAGGACCAAAGGAGAGCAGGCCCCAGUGCUGUGCGUCCUACGAGCACCACCUGCUGUCUCACCUCUUCCAGGAAGCCCACCCUGAUCCCUCUAGUCCCAGCCUCAGACACUGAAGCAACAUCAGGCGGAUGUCACCCACCCCUUGGGACUUCGCCAUGGGUCGCUAGCCCAGACCCUCCCCUUGGUUCCGGUGGUUCCAUUUCUGCCCCUUUGCUGCUGGCCCCCUUCUGAGGAUGCCCGUGCAUCUCCAGGACCACUGCUCCAGUCCUUGGUGUAGAUCAAAGCUGGCCUUCACACGCGGCCUGAAAAUGUAGAGUGGCCGCCUUCUGGGCUGGGCUGCCACCUCCACCACAUCACCCGUGACAGAAGCCCCGUGUUUUUCGGUAACCACGUUCCACGAACACCUCCCGACUGCCUUCCAGAACACACAAAGAUCAACGAAGCUCAGAAUCCAGUCCCGACGUCAUUUCAUGAAGAGCAGGUAGUCCAUCAAAGGGAUGGGCCCCAUGAGUGAAGGGCUGAGACCCCACCAUGGUGUGAGGCGUCCCAGGCACUCCCGUCACGGCCCAAACCAGGCUGCAGGCUCCAUCCCCAUGGGGCAGGCACAGAGGAGGCGAUUCAUGUGGACACAGGGACACCUGUGGACGCCCUGGCUCGGCCGCUUACCGCCGUGUGUUUGUGGCCAGGUCCCUGCUCCUGAGCCUCAGUUUCCACACCUGUGAGAUGGGUCUGAGGUGGAAUCGCCAACCAGCUGAGGAUGCGCAGCCACAGACCACCUUCCAGAAAUCUCCAAAAGGCUUUCCAAAACAGGAAAACAAGGAAGGCUGCCAUCAGCAGGAAUUCCAGGGCUUUCAGAAUGAGGCUGUCAGGAGUGAAGGGAGCUGUGCUCCACAUGCAGGGCAGUGGCCAGGGCUGCCAGGCCUUGUUUAUCUGGGAGCGCCAGGCUGCCUGCCUGCACCUGGUCUGGGCACCUGAAGGCAGAGCUGCUCCUGCUUAGGGUCUGUGGCAACUGUCCUCCUCAGUGGGUGCUGCUGGGAGCUCCUCUGAUUCCUGGUGGGCGGCUUCUGGCCUCGCCUCUUCACCCACGGUGUAGGGUGUGGGAUGGAGAUGCAGGGCCUCUGCUCUCCUUCUCCCCUCCCCCAAGCAGCCUGGGUUGUACCUCCACUAAUAAACACCAACACCCGCGCCCAGGGUGGGUUCGGC
Long non-coding RNA from Homo sapiens (human), 2553 nucleotides. RefSeq annotates it as TSPEAR antisense RNA 1. NCBI's taxonomy places the organism in Eukaryota, Metazoa, Chordata, Mammalia, Primates, Hominidae. The transcript is spliced from 7 exons. The record is from RefSeq and is marked validated.